This 446-nucleotide ribosomal RNA is filed under the name uncultured bacterium. RNAcentral's name for it is "partial 16S ribosomal RNA". It matches the Rfam family "Bacterial small subunit ribosomal RNA", at positions 338 to 795 of the family's 1533-position model. The record is from RNAcentral.
CCUACGGGAGGCAGCAGUCGAGAAUCAUUCACAAUGGGGGAAACCCUGAUGGGGCGACGCCGCGUGGGGGAAUGAAGGUCUGCGGAUUGUAAACCCCUGUCAUGUGGGAGCAAAUUAAAAAGAUAGUACCACAAGAGGAAGAGACGGCUAACUCUGUGCCAGCAGCCGCGGUAAUACAGAGGUCUCAAGCGUUGUUCGGAAUCACUGGGCGUAAUGCGUGCGUAGGCUGUUUCGUAAGUCGUGUGUGAAAGGCGCGGGCUCAACCCGCGGACGGCACAUGAUACUGCGAGACUAGAGUAAUGGAGGGGGAACCGGAAUUCUCGGUGUAGCCGUGAAAUGCGUAGAUAUCGAGAGGAACACUCGUGGCGAAGGCGGGUUCCUGGACAUUAACUGACGCUGAGGCACGAAGGCCAGGGGAGCGAAAGGGAUUAGAUACCCUUGUAGUC